Molecule: ribosomal RNA, 1362 nt
Filed under: uncultured bacterium
Lineage: Bacteria
Description: bacterial SSU rRNA
Rfam family: Bacterial small subunit ribosomal RNA
Source: RNAcentral
AUUGAACGCUGGCGGCAGGCCUAACACAUGCAAGUCGAACGGUAGCACAGAGAGCUUGCUCUCGGGUGACGAGUGGCGGACGGGUGAGUAAUGUCUGGGAAACUGCCUGAUGGAGGGGGAUAACUACUGGAAACGGUAGCUAAUACCGCAUAACGUCGCAAGACCAAAGAGGGGGACCUUCGGGCCUCUUGCCAUCAGAUGUGCCCAGAUGGGAUUAGCUAGUAGGUGGGGUAACGGCUCACCUAGGCGACGAUCCCUAGCUGGUCUGAGAGGAUGACCAGCCACACUGGAACUGAGACACGGUCCAGACUCCUACGGGAGGCAGCAGUGGGGAAUAUUGCACAAUGGGCGCAAGCCUGAUGCAGCCAUGCCGCGUGUAUGAAGAAGGCCUUCGGGUUGUAAAGUACUUUCAGCGGGGAGGAAGGUGUUGUGGUUAAUAACCGCAGCAAUUGACGUUACCUGCAGAAGAAGCACCGGCUAACUCCGUGCCAGCAGCCGCGGUAAUACGGAGGGUGCAAGCGUUAAUCGGAAUUACUGGGCGUAAAGCGCACGCAGGCGGUCUGUCAAGUCGGAUGUGAAAUCCCCGGGCUCAACCUGGGAACUGCAUUCGAAACUGGCAGGCUAGAGUCUUGUAGAGGGGGGUAGAAUUCCAGGUGUAGCGGUGAAAUGCGUAGAGAUCUGGAGGAAUACCGGUGGCGAAGGCGGCCCCCUGGACAAAGACUGACGCUCAGGUGCGAAAGCGUGGGGAGCAAACAGGAUUAGAUACCCUGGUAGUCCACGCCGUAAACGAUGUCGACUUGGAGGUUGUGCCCUUGAGGCGUGGCUUCCGGAGCUAACGCGUUAAGUCGACCGCCUGGGGAGUACGGCCGCAAGGUUAAAACUCAAAUGAAUUGACGGGGGCCCGCACAAGCGGUGGAGCAUGUGGUUUAAUUCGAUGCAACGCGAAGAACCUUACCUACUCUUGACAUCCAGAGAACUUUCCAGAGAUGGAUUGGUGCCUUCGGGAACUCUGAGACAGGUGCUGCAUGGCUGUCGUCAGCUCGUGUUGUGAAAUGUUGGGUUAAGUCCCGCAACGAGCGCAACCCUUAUCCUUUGUUGCCAGCGGUCCGGCCGGGAACUCAGAGGAGACUGCCAGUGAUAAACUGGAGGAAGGUGGGGAUGACGUCAAGUCAUCAUGCCCCUUACGAGUAGGGCUACACACGUGCUACAAUGGCGCAUACAAAGAGAAGCGACCUCGCGAGAGCAAGCGGACCUCAUAAAGUGCGUCGUAGUCUGGAUUGGAGUCAGCAACUCGACUCCAUGAAGUGGGAAUCGCUAGUAAUCGUAGAUCAGAAUGCUACGGGGAAUACGUUCCGGGGCUUU